This 275-nucleotide ribosomal RNA is filed under the name uncultured bacterium. RNAcentral describes it as "partial 16S ribosomal RNA". It matches the Rfam family "Bacterial small subunit ribosomal RNA", at positions 399 to 691 of the family's 1533-position model. The record is from RNAcentral.
GCGUGAGUGAAGAAGGCCUUAGGGUUGUAAAGCUCUUUCGUCAGGGAAGAUAAUGACGGUACCUGAAGAAGAAGCCCCGGCUAACUCCGUGCCAGCAGCCGCGGUAAUACGGAGGGGGCUAGCGUUGUUCGGAAUUACUGGGCGUAAAGCGCACGUAGGCGGCUAACCAAGUUGGGGGUGAAAGCCCAGGGCUUAACCCUGGAACUGCCUUCAAGACUGGUUGGCUAGAGGCCGAGAGAGGUAAGGGGAAUUCCUAGUGUAGAGGUGAAAUUCGU